GAACGCACAUUGCGCCCCUUGGUAUUCCAUGGGGCAUGCCUGUUCGAGCGUCAUUUGUACCCUCAAGCUCUACUUGGUGUUGGGUGUUUGUCCUCUCCCUGGUGUUAGGACUCGCCUUAAAGCAAUUGGCAGCCAGUGUUUUGGUAUUGAAGCGCAGCACAUUUUGCGAUUCUAGCCCAUGAAUACUAGCGACCAUUAAGCCCAUUUUUAACUUUUGACCUCGGAUCAGGUAGGGAUACCCGCUGAACUUAAG
This 253-nucleotide unclassified non-coding RNA is filed under the name uncultured Phaeosphaeria. Its description in RNAcentral is "sequence contains 5.8S rRNA gene". The stretch from base 1 to 53 matches the Rfam family "5.8S ribosomal RNA", at positions 102 to 154 of the family's 154-position model. The record is from RNAcentral. Lineage: Eukaryota; Fungi; Ascomycota; Dothideomycetes; Pleosporales; Phaeosphaeriaceae.